RNAcentral lists this ribosomal RNA (49 nucleotides) under Arthrographis kalrae. RNAcentral's name for it is "partial 28S ribosomal RNA". The record is from RNAcentral. Lineage: Eukaryota; Fungi; Ascomycota; Dothideomycetes; Eremomycetales; Eremomycetaceae.
UUGACCUCGAAUCAGGUGGGGAUACCCGCUGAACUUAAGCAUAUCAAUA